This 737-nucleotide unclassified non-coding RNA is filed under the name Hevea brasiliensis (rubber tree). Lineage: Eukaryota; Viridiplantae; Streptophyta; Magnoliopsida; Malpighiales; Euphorbiaceae. The record is from RNAcentral.
UCGGCUAUGACAAAUUUUCCAUUAUGAAAGGUUAGCGUCUUAAAGAGCACAAAUAUUCAUAUUUGAACAGAAUCUUUUCUUUUUCUGGAUUUUGCUUGUGACGCAGCUUUCUUUCUAUGCCUUCUCAGCUCUCACAUUUCUUGUUAGAAACAUUCACCAGCAAUUCCCCUCAGUAUUCAAUGCCUGGAACUUUCGUGAUGCUACUGCCUUCCAGCCUAGUAGGACAAAGCAUAUAUGGCUGUCUAAACUAACCAACAUUCUAGCUGAUGCUGCUAAACCAAUGCUUGUUCUCACUGCAAGAUCUUACCAAUUAACUGCUACAAUUGUCAGUUCUUAAGGCAAGGGAUCUACUAAAGGCAACCAAAGAAUGUAAACCUUUCAACAAGUUUCAUUUGAGAAGUUAGUUACAUGAUCUAUAGUCAGAUUCUCACAACUCAGCAAAGGAAUCAUAUAGUCUAUUUAGGUAAAAAUUUUAUUCACUCAUCUUUUGUAUACUACAGUAAAAGUGGUUUGUGAAUUUUCAUGAGACAUGAACUCAGUUCAGUUACAUAACAUUGAAUGUUUUCUGUUUCUCUUGGCUGUUGUGCAAAGGUGAACAUAAGAAAUUAUAGAACUUAAGUUGUUACACAGAUGAUAAAAGUUCAACAACUGGGAAAAAAGGAUAAACUCAGAAAUAAUAGAUUUGAUUUCCUUCUAUAUCUGUUCUGUAAUGCAUUAAAUAUUUAGACAAAUGAAGA